CGGGGAUGGUACAUGCGAGGGAGUAGUUUACUAUGACCAGACAAGUGCCAUCCUAGUGGCGGACGGGUGAGUAACGCGUGGGCAACCUGCCCUGUACAGGGGGGUAACACUUAGAAAUAGGUGCUAAUACCGCAUGAGCGCACAAAGGCGCAUGCCUAUGUGCGGGAAGCCCGCGAGGGCGGUACGGGAUGGGCCCGCGUCUGAUUAGCCAGUUGGCAGGGUAACGGCCUACCAAAGCGACGAUCAGUAGCCGGCCUGAGAGGGUGGACGGCCACAUUGGGACUGAGACACGGCCCAAACUCCUACGGGAGGCAGCAGUGGGGGAUAUUGCACAAUGGGGGAAACCCUGAUGCAGCGACGCCGCGUGAGUGAAGGAGCGUUUCGGCGCGUAAAGCUCUAUCAGCAGGGAAGACAAACUGCCCCGGAAGGGGCAGCCGGACGGUACCUGACCAAGAAGCCCCGGCUAACUACGUGCCAGCAGCCGCGGUAAUACGUAGGGGGCAAGCGUUAUCCGGAUUUACUGGGUGUAAAGGGAGCGUAGACGGCAAGACAAGCCUGGAGUGAAAGGCGGGGGCCCAACCCCCGGACUGCUCUGGGAACUGUCUGGCUGGAGUGCAGGAGGGGUAAGUGGAAUUCCUAGUGUAGCGGUGAAAUGCGUAGAUAUUAGGAGGAACACCAGUGGCGAAGGCGGCUUACUGGACUGUAACUGACGUUGAGGCUCGAAAGCGUGGGGAGCAAACAGGAUUAGAUACCCUGGUAGUCCACGCCGUANACGAUGACCACUAGGUGUCGGNGGCUUAAGGGCGCCCGGUGC
RNAcentral lists this ribosomal RNA (814 nucleotides) under uncultured bacterium. RNAcentral describes it as "bacterial SSU rRNA". It matches the Rfam family "Bacterial small subunit ribosomal RNA", at positions 43 to 846 of the family's 1533-position model. The record is from RNAcentral.